This 435-nucleotide ribosomal RNA is filed under the name uncultured Saccharofermentans sp. RNAcentral describes it as "partial 16S ribosomal RNA". It matches the Rfam family "Bacterial small subunit ribosomal RNA", at positions 341 to 792 of the family's 1533-position model. Lineage: Bacteria; Bacillati; Bacillota; Clostridia; Eubacteriales; Oscillospiraceae. The record is from RNAcentral.
ACGGAAGGCAGCAGUGGGGAAUAUUGGGCAAUGGGCGCAAGCCUGACCCAGCAACGCCGCGUGAAGGAUGAAGGUCUUCGGAUUGUAAACUUCUUUGAUCAGGGACGAAUUUUGACGGUACCUGAAGAACAAGUCACGGCUAACUACGUGCCAGCAGCCUCGGUAAUACGUAGGUGACAAGCUUUAUCCGGAUCUACUGGGUGUAAAGGGCGUGUAGGCGGUUUGGCAAGUCAGAAGUGAAAGUCCCGGGCUUAACUUGGGAGCUGCUUCUGAAACUGCUUAACUUGAGUACUGGAGAGGAUAGUGGAAUUCCUAGUGUAGCGGUAAAAUGCGUAGAUAUUAGGAGGAACACCGGUGGCGAAGGCGGCUAUCUGGACAGUAACUGACGCUGAGGCGCGAAAGCACGGGGAGCAAACAGGAUUAGAUACACUGGUA